This 271-nucleotide ribosomal RNA is filed under the name uncultured prokaryote. RNAcentral describes it as "partial 16S ribosomal RNA". It matches the Rfam family "Bacterial small subunit ribosomal RNA", at positions 524 to 794 of the family's 1533-position model. The record is from RNAcentral.
UACGUAGGUGGCGAGCGUUGUCCGGAUUUACUGGGCGUAAAGGGAGCGUAGGCGGACUUUUAAGUGAGAUGUGAAAUACCCGGGCUCAACUUGGGUGCUGCAUUUCAAACUGGAAGUCUAGAGUGCAGGAGAGGAGAAUGGAAUUCCUAGUGUAGCGGUGAAAUGCGUAGAGAUUAGGAAGAACGCCAGUGGCGAAGGCGAUUCUCUGGACUGUAACUGACGCUGAGGCUCGAAAGCGUGGGGAGCAAACAGGAUUAGAUACCCCGGUAGU